Molecule: ribosomal RNA, 385 nt
Filed under: uncultured bacterium
Lineage: Bacteria
Description: partial 16S ribosomal RNA
Rfam family: Bacterial small subunit ribosomal RNA
Source: RNAcentral
UGGGGAAUAUUGGACAAUGGGCGCAAGCCUGAUCCAGCCAUGCCGCGUGAGUGAUGAAGGCCUUUAGGGUUGUAAAGCUCUUUCGCCGACGAAGAUAAUGACGGUAGUCGGAGAAGAAGCCUCGGCUAACUUCGUGCCAGCAGCCGCGGUAAUACGAAGGGGGCUAGCGUUGUUCGGAAUCACUGGGCGUAAAGCGCACGUAGGCGGAUUGUUAAGUCAGGGUGAAAGCCUGGAGCUCAACUCCAGAACUGCCCUUGAUACUGGCAAUCUCGAGUCCGGAAGAGGUAAGUGGAACUCGAGUGUAGAGGUGAAAUUCGUAGAUAUUCGCAAGAGCACCAGUGGCGAAGGCGGCUUACUGGUCCGGUACUGACGCUGAGGUGCGAAA